CCGGCUCUGUUAGUUUUCGGUUAAAUCUGUAUGCUCAACAUACAGGCUGCCGGGAAUACUGCAGAGCUAGGGAGUGGGAGAGGUAGACGGUACUCGGUAGGAAGGGGUAAAAUCCUUUGAUCUAUUGAUGACCACCUGUGGCGAAGGCGGUCUACCAGAACACGUCCGACGGUGAGGGAUGAAAGCUGGGGGAGCAAACCGGAUUAGAUACCCGGGUAGUCCCAGCUGUAAACUAUGCAAACUCAGUGAUGCAUUGGCUUGUGGCCAAUGCAGUGCUGCAGGGAAGCCGUUAAGUUUGCCGCCUGGGAAGUACGUACGCAAGUAUGAAACUUAAAGGAAUUGGCGGGGGAGCACAA
Molecule: ribosomal RNA, 356 nt
Filed under: uncultured crenarchaeote
Lineage: Archaea; Thermoproteati; Thermoproteota
Description: bacterial SSU rRNA
Rfam family: Archaeal small subunit ribosomal RNA
Source: RNAcentral